Molecule: small nucleolar RNA, 73 nt
Organism: Phyllostomus discolor (pale spear-nosed bat)
Lineage: Eukaryota; Metazoa; Chordata; Mammalia; Chiroptera; Phyllostomidae
Product: small nucleolar RNA SNORD107
Exons: 1
Source: RefSeq, a predicted model, not a curated record
AAUUUAUGAUGAGAAAGGACCUUGUCUGAACAUUAUGAUUUCAAAUUGUGAGCUUUAAAAUGUCAGUGAAAAA